This 460-nucleotide ribosomal RNA is filed under the name uncultured bacterium. RNAcentral's name for it is "partial 16S ribosomal RNA". It matches the Rfam family "Bacterial small subunit ribosomal RNA", at positions 338 to 795 of the family's 1533-position model. The record is from RNAcentral.
CCUACGGGUGGCAGCAGUGAGGAAUAUUGGUCAAUGGACGAGAGUCUGAACCAGCCAAGUAGCGUGAAGGAUGACUGCCCUCUGGGUUGUAAACUUCUUUUAUAUGGGAAUAAAAUGUUCCACGUGUGGGAUUUUGUAUGUACCAUAUGAAUAAGGAUCGGCGAACUCCGUGCCAGCAGCCGCGGUAAUACGGAGGAUCCGAGCGUUAUCCGGAUUUAUUGGGUUUAAAGGGAGCGUAGGUGGAUUGUUAAGUCAGUUGUGAAAGUUUGCGGCUCAACCGUAAAAUUGCAGUUGAAACUGGCAGUCUUGAGUACAGUAGAGGUGGGCGGAAUUCGUGGUGUAGCGGUGAAAUGCUUAGAUAUCACGAAGAACUCCGAUUGCGAAGGCAGUUCACUGGACUGCAACUGACACUGAGGCUCGAAAGUGUGGGUAUCAAACAGGAUUAGAUACCCUAGUAGUC